GAAUAUUGGACAAUGGGGGGAACCCUGACCCAGCCAUGCCGCGUGUGUGAAGAAGGCCUUUUGGUUGUAAAGCACUUUACGCGAGGAGGAGGGGCCCUUGGUUACUACCCAAGAUGCUCGGACGUUACUCGCAGAAUAAGCCCCGGCCAACUCUGUGCCAGACGCCGCGGUAAUACAGAGGGUGCAAUCGUUAAUCGGAUUUACUGGGCGGAAAGCGGGCGUAGGUGGCCAAUUAAGUCAAAUGUGAAAUCCCCGAGCUUAACUUGGGAAUUGCAUUCGAUACUGGUUGGCUAGAGUAUGGGAGAGGAUGGUAGAAUUCCAGGUGUAGCGGUGAAAUGCGUAGAGAUCUGGAGGAAUACCGAUGGCGAAGGCAGCCAUCUGGCCUAAUACUGACACUGAGGUGCGAAAGCAUGGGGAGCAAACA
This 424-nucleotide ribosomal RNA is filed under the name uncultured bacterium. Its description in RNAcentral is "partial 16S ribosomal RNA". It matches the Rfam family "Bacterial small subunit ribosomal RNA", at positions 359 to 774 of the family's 1533-position model. The record is from RNAcentral.